This 402-nucleotide ribosomal RNA is filed under the name uncultured Blastochloris sp. RNAcentral's name for it is "bacterial SSU rRNA". It matches the Rfam family "Bacterial small subunit ribosomal RNA", at positions 355 to 774 of the family's 1533-position model. The record is from RNAcentral. Lineage: Bacteria; Pseudomonadati; Pseudomonadota; Alphaproteobacteria; Hyphomicrobiales; Blastochloridaceae.
UUAGGAAUCUUGGACAAUGGGCGAAAGCCUGAUCCAGCCAUGCCGCGUGAGUGAUGAAGGCCCUAGGGUUGUAAAGCUCUUUCGACGGGGAAGAUAAUGACGGUACCCGUAGAAGAAGCCCCGGCUAACUUCGUGCCAGCAGCCGCGGUAAUACGAAGGGGGCUAGCGUUGCUCGGAAUCACUGGGCGUAAAGCGCACGUAGGCGGAUCUUUAAGUCGGGGGUGAAAUCCCGGAGCUCAACUCCGGAACUGCCUUCGAUACUGAGGAUCUCGAGUCCGGGAGAGGUGAGUGGAACUGCGAGUGUAGAGGUGAAAUUCGUAGAUAUUCGCAAGAACACCAGUGGCGAAGGCGGCUCACUGGCCCGGUACUGACGCUGAGGUGCGAAAGCGUGGGGAGCAAACA